UACGGGGGGGGCAAGCGUUGUUCGGAAUUACUGGGCGUAAAGGGCUCGUAGGCGGCCAACUAAGUCAGACGUGAAAUCCCUCGGCUUAACCGGGGAACUGCGUCUGAUACUGGAUGGCUUGAGAUUGGGAGAGGGAUGCGGAAUUCCAGGUGUAGCGGUGAAAUUCGUAGAUAUCGGGAGGAACACCUGUGGCGAAGGCGGCCAUCUGGACGGUCACUGACACUGAGACGCGAAAGCGUGGGUAGCAAACAGG
Molecule: ribosomal RNA, 253 nt
Filed under: uncultured bacterium
Lineage: Bacteria
Description: partial 16S ribosomal RNA
Rfam family: Bacterial small subunit ribosomal RNA
Source: RNAcentral